GUGGAUUUCUCCGGCGAUCAAUCGUCGUCUCUUCCGUUUCCCGUGGGGAAUAGGUAUUAGUGAAAAAAGGAUGGAGAUGAAACAGCAGUUAGAGUGGAAUGAAGCUCAGAAGACUCUGAUAAAUGUGGACCUUGUUGCUGCAGCUAAAGAACAGCUCAAGUUUCUUGCUACCGUUGAUAGAAACCGUUGGCUGUAUGAAGGCCGUGGCCUGGAUAAAGCCAUUCAUAGGUACUACUCAUGUUGGCUACCACUGUUGGCAAAACACUCUGAGUCCCCCUACUUUGACGGGCCCUUGGUUGUUCCUUUGGACUGUGAAUGGAUUUGGCAUUGUCACAGGCUCAAUCCUGUUAGAUACAAGACUGACUGUGAGAAUUUAUAUGGGAGAAUUCUUGACAACCAUGAUGUUGUAUCUUCUGUGAAUGCGAAGUCAAAAAAGGAUACCGAAGAACUGUGGAAACACUUGUAUGCAAACGAGCCUUAUGAUUUGGACUCAGCUAGAGCUCUUUCAGAAGAUGUCCAUGCAAAAGCUGAAAAGUACAGUGAUUAUGAUCUAGUCUCUGCUGUUUCACGGCAAAGCCCAUUCUUCUACCAGGUGUCUAGACCACACAUAAACAACAAUCUCUAUCUUGAAGGUGCUGUGGCUCGAUACAAGGGUUUCUUACAUCUGAUCCGGAGAAACAAAGAAAGAUCCAUUAAGAGCUUCACUGUUCCAACUUAUGACAUAGACCUUAUCUGGCACACUCACCAGUUACAUCCUGCUUCUUAUUGCAAAGACCUUGUUGACAUUAUGGGUAAGGUUUUAGAACAUGAUGACACUGACUCAGAUCGAACAAAAGGGAAAAAGUUGGAUACUGGCUUUUUUCGAACUACAAGGCAGUGGGAAGAAACAUAUGGUUUAAGAUAUUGGAGGGCAGGUGCUAUGUAUAGAGGCAGUUCACCAUCUCCUCUUGGGAAUUCUUAUUACCCCUCCAACCCUGUAAGCAAGAGCGCAGAUAUUUUCCAUGAACACCAAAAGAUAAUGCAGUAUCCUGAGAUGGAAGCAGUAGAAGUUAUGUUAGAGCUUGUAGAUAUCAGAAAUUUACCAGAAGGACGCGAGGGAAGCUUCUUUGUCUCAUUUAGCAAGACUCAGCCCGAUAGAAUCUUCAAUGCAAAGAGAAAACUUACUAUUUUGUCCAUCACUGGGGAAAAACAGGUUGCUUCUUUCCAAUGUGAACCUAAUGGUCAUCUUCUUUUUGAUCUCAUGUCAUGCUCAUCGUCUGGUUUACCUAUUCCGAAACCUGUUAAAUCUGUGGGUUCUGUUAAAGUCUCUUUAGAAGAUCUGGUUUGCCCGACUUCGAAACUUACAAUGGAAAAGUGGUUGGAAGUUGUGCCAAGCUCUAAAAUGGAAGCACUAAAGCCAAUCUGUUUACGAGUAGCUAUCUCAGUUACAACACCUACUGCAGCACCAUAUGUCUUUCACUUUGUCCGUCCUCGAGCAUUCUCCAAAAAUUCUUGCUUAUUCCCACUUCCUGGAAGGAUUCAGCAUGCUAAGAAUUGGACUCGCAUCAUUGAUGAUGCUGGUGAUGAGGUCAUUAGCCUUCAAAUGAGGGACUCGAAGAAAUCCAAGGGUGAAACUGAUUCUACAUUGCACAAGGAGGUGGUUGGCGUCAGCAAGUUCGGCGAGGUACAUUCUCUUGCUGAGUUAGUAGGGAAAGAGUGGUUGCUGUUAGGUGCUCAGUGGUCUCUUCAACUUCAAACAUCCAGCUGUGAUGAUGGCCAGCUUUUUGAGUUGGCUGGUCAGAGGAAUGUGAAAUUCUUCCCUGGUCAGAGGCUGGAUUAUGAGCACAAGUAUUGUACAAAGCAAAGGAGUGAAGAUGAUUUUAUGACAGCGGUAGAGUUCUCUGCACAGGAUCCUUAUGGAAAGGCAGUAGCGUUGGCUGACUUGAAAUUUGGAGUUAUCAAUGUGAAAGAGGAGUGGUUUCUUUUGCCUGGUUCUAUAACAGCUUUUGUACUUUGUGAUACGUUGAAGAAGGAAGGGUAUAGUAGCUUGGUAGGCAGUGCCAAACAUUCGAAAGAGAAGUUGUCCACUCAAGAAACUGAUGUGUGCCAUGAAGAGGACAACAGAGCUAAUCUGGAAUCUGAGACAGAGAAGGGUGUGAAGUUGGACCUGGAGGCUACCAAAGGAAGCAUUGUAGCACCCGCAAAUGAAGCAAUCAGUGGAGGCUGCAAUAAUCUUAUGAAGAGGGGAGCCUGUGGUAGUUGUGGUGCUGUUUUUGGAAACAAAUUAAAGAGUGGUGGUUGUGGUUGUGGAAGUAUGUUAGAAAGCGGUGGUUGUGGUGGCAGUGGUUGUGGAGGCUGUGGAAGUAUGUUAGAAAGCGGCGGCUGUGGUGGUGGUGGCUGUGGAAGUAUGUUAGAAAGUGGUGGCUGUGGA
This 2410-nucleotide unclassified non-coding RNA is filed under the name Hevea brasiliensis (rubber tree). The record is from RNAcentral. Lineage: Eukaryota; Viridiplantae; Streptophyta; Magnoliopsida; Malpighiales; Euphorbiaceae.